AAGGAGAUGUGCUUAGUGUCAAAAUCAGAUUACUCUGACUUGUAGGCUGUAGGGGCUUUGCCAACUUGGGUGCAGGUGCAAGUCUCUUGGAAAGGAGCACCAGUGAGGGUCAAGGUCCCGUCUGGCAUCUGUCAUCCCUCGUAGACGGUUUGCCCAUUGAGAGUCGUGUUCUUCUGGAGUAGAGCGCUAAUUGGGUGGUACUCUUUGCCCAAGGAGGAUUACGUGCUUGAGACCAAUAGUGAACAAGUACCAUGAGGGAAGGGUGAAAAGGACUUUGGAAAGAGGGUUAAGAGGGCAUGAAGCUGCUGGAAGGGAAGUGGAUUGGACUUUUACAUCGCAGUAAGAUUGCAGGCUGUGAUUUCCACUCGUGGGACAUCGCGUGCUGUGUCUCUUGCUGCUCGGUUGGGUUUUGCGUUGUGCCCGAAAUCUCAGCUUUGACUGGAAGAAGGUUUGCGAACUGGACCAUGUCAUUGCCAACUUUUGGCGCAGCAUGCAACCUUGACCAAAAGGUUCAAUUUUACCCGUCUUGAAAC
RNAcentral lists this ribosomal RNA (533 nucleotides) under Amphidinium carterae. RNAcentral describes it as "eukaryotic LSU rRNA". It matches the Rfam family "Eukaryotic large subunit ribosomal RNA", at positions 97 to 660 of the family's 3401-position model. The record is from RNAcentral. Lineage: Eukaryota; Dinophyceae; Amphidiniales; Amphidiniaceae.